RNAcentral lists this transfer RNA (72 nucleotides) under Bos taurus (domestic cattle). It matches the Rfam family "tRNA". Rfam says of the family: Transfer RNA (tRNA) molecules are approximately 80 nucleotides in length. Their secondary structure includes four short double-helical elements and three loops (D, anti-codon, and T loops). Lineage: Eukaryota; Metazoa; Chordata; Mammalia; Artiodactyla; Bovidae. The record is from Rfam by way of RNAcentral.
UCCCUGGUGGCUCAGAGGUUAAAGCAUCUGCCUCCAAUACAGAAGACCCAGGUUUGAUCCCUGGAUCGGGAA